RNAcentral lists this long non-coding RNA (401 nucleotides) under Mytilus galloprovincialis (Mediterranean mussel). The record is from RNAcentral. Lineage: Eukaryota; Metazoa; Mollusca; Bivalvia; Mytilida; Mytilidae.
UAGCUUUCAUCCUAUGCUGGCUUCCAGCAUCACUGGCGACCUACAUCAACUUGCAACAAAGACUUGGAGGAGCCUACUACAUCAUGACAGCUCUGUCUCCACUUAACAGCUUGAUAAAUCCAAUCAUUGUCCUUUCAGUAAACCAUAGGAUGUUUAGACCAAGACAGAAAAAAACCUUGUCAACUAAACUCACGUUGACAACGUCAUUAAAAAGUCCAGGUCGUUCCAGGCGUGAAUUUGUACAUGCAUGAUACAAAUUAUAAACGGAAUACAAUGUUUUAUUAUACAUUUAUAUACUGUGGAAUUUUCACUUAUCUAUUUUUAUUUGAUUAAAUUGUUAUUUAUUGUUAUUUAUUAUUGUCAGUUUACAACAGAAUACAAUGUUUUAUCGUAUGCUAGGG